Dipodomys ordii (Ord's kangaroo rat) is the source of this 70-nucleotide non-coding RNA. The record is from Rfam. NCBI's taxonomy places the organism in Eukaryota, Metazoa, Chordata, Mammalia, Rodentia, Heteromyidae.
GGGAAAGUGGCUCAGUGGUAGAGUGCUUGUCUUGCAUGCAUGAGGCCCUGGGUUUGAUUCCUCAGCACCA